AGUGAACGCUGGCGGUAGGCCUAACACAUGCAAGUCGAACGGCAGCACAGUAAGAGCUUGCCCUUACGGGUGGCGAGUGGCGGACGGGUGAGGAAUACAUCGGAAUCUACUUUUUCGUGGGGGACAACGUAGGGAAACUUACGCUAAUACCGCAUACGACCUACGGGUGAAAGCAGGGGAUCUUCGGACCUUGCGCGAUUGAAUGAGCCGAUGACGGAUCAGCUAGUUGGCGUGGUAAAGGCACACCAAGGCGACGAUCCGUAGCUGAUCUGAGAGGAUGAUCGGCCACACUGGAACUGAGACACGGUCCAGACUCCUACGGGAGGCAGCAGUAGGGAAUCUUGGGCAAUGGGCGAAAGCCUGACGGAGCAAUACAGCGUGAGUGAUGAAGGUCUUCGGAUCGUAAAACUCUGUUGUUAGGAAAGAAAAAAUGUGUGAGUAACUACGGCUGUCUUGACGGUACCUAAAGAGAAAGCAACGGCUAACUACGUG
This 492-nucleotide ribosomal RNA is filed under the name uncultured bacterium. Its description in RNAcentral is "partial 16S ribosomal RNA". It matches the Rfam family "Bacterial small subunit ribosomal RNA", at positions 29 to 507 of the family's 1533-position model. The record is from RNAcentral.